This 671-nucleotide ribosomal RNA is filed under the name uncultured Pseudomonadaceae bacterium. Its description in RNAcentral is "SSU rRNA". It matches the Rfam family "Bacterial small subunit ribosomal RNA", at positions 84 to 751 of the family's 1533-position model. Lineage: Bacteria; Pseudomonadati; Pseudomonadota; Gammaproteobacteria; Pseudomonadales; Pseudomonadaceae. The record is from RNAcentral.
UCCUGGAUUCAGCGGCGGACGGGUGAGUAAUGCCUAGGAAUCUGCCUGGUAGUGGGGGAUAACGUCCGGAAACGGGCGCUAAUACCGCAUACGUCCUGAGGGAGAAAGUGGGGGAUCUUCGGACCUCACGCUAUCAGAUGAGCCUAGGUCGGAUUAGCUAGUUGGUGGGGUAAAGGCCUACCAAGGCGACGAUCCGUAACUGGUCUGAGAGGAUGAUCAGUCACACUGGAACUGAGACACGGUCCAGACUCCUACGGGAGGCAGCAGUGGGGAAUAUUGGACAAUGGGCGAAAGCCUGAUCCAGCCAUGCCGCGUGUGUGAAGAAGGUCUUCGGAUUGUAGAGCACUUUAAGUUGGGAGGAAGGGCAGUAAGUUAAUACCUUGCUGUUUUGACGUUACCAACAGAAUAAGCACCGGCUAACUUCGUGCCAGCAGCCGCGGUAAUACGAAGGGUGCAAGCGUUAAUCGGAAUUACUGGGCGUAAAGCGCGCGUAGGUGGUUCAGCAAGUUGGAUGUGAAAUCCCCGGGCUCAACCUGGGAACUGCAUCCAAAACUACUGAGCUAGAGUACGGUAGAGGGUGGUGGAAUUUCCUGUGUAGCGGUGAAAUGCGUAGAUAUAGGAAGGAACACCAGUGGCGAAGGCGACCACCUGGACUGAUACUGACACUGAGG